UUUUUGUAAUUAAAGUGAAAUUCCAUCUAACAGGGUUUACAUCUUCCAUCUUCGUUCUAUUCAAAUAGUUAGGGUUUACAUCCUCAUUCAAAUCAUCGCUCACUGCUACCACUCUCCUGACAACCGCCGUCGCCGUCGACACAUCACCUCUGCCACCACCGCGACACCACCGCACCACCACCGUGAGAACUCCUUCGUUGAUAACUCCGACGAAGACAACUCAUCCACUGACAUUCAUACAUCUGCUGAUAAGUCACCACUGCAAUAGCUAAUUCGGCUCGUCCUUCUACGAUUACUUGGUUGAAUACAUCAUUUAUCCGUUCAAGCGGCUAGAAAAGUCCUGGAAGAAGCUUGCUUUGGGUCGGAUUUUAAGGUUUCCGAGUGGCUUAACUGGGUCCCUAUUAAAGUUAAUGGUUUCUUCUAUUUCCUAUAUGUGUUCUUUUGGUUUUGAUUUAAUCCCCUGCAUAUGUGUAUGUGUGUGCACUUUAAAUUCCAACUGAAUUGGAUGUAUAGAUUUAUGUAUAAAUUGGGAAAAAUCUAGGUGUUCUGGGGUUUAGUGACUUGAAGAAAGAGAUUGGUUGGAUGUAUAUAAACUUUCCCUAAACCCUAGAAUGAAAUCAGCAGCAAUUAUGAAGUUGUGCUAAUCAAAAAGCAAACACAAAUAGUACUCAUAGGUUAGUGGCCCUUGUGGAACAUGAGUGGAUUCUAUAUAAGGUCAACUCAUUUGAUAUAAGCUUUCAAUCCUUUUCCACUUGCAAUGCAUGAAAGUAAAGUAAUACUGUGGGGUCCUUUGCACCCAUCACAUUCUGAUGCAUGAUCAGUAGUAAUAAGAAUUUGAACUUUCUAUUCUUUAAUCCCAGAGGAUAUAGUAGCGAAAGUAGUGAUACUAUUGGAAUGGAUUACUUUAAGUGCAAUUAUCGGUCAUUUGUCACAAAUAGUUAAACAUGUGUUUGAAUAAUCUUAAUAUUUUUUGAAUGGAUUCUACAUUCAAAAAAUUAGGAUUACAUGACCAUUUGGUUCUUUCUCAUAACGCUCUCCGUUAACGUAUCAUGAUUUUCUUUUUUGUGUAACCAUUAUGAUUUCAAAUAUUGAAGGGAGGAUUUUCGUAAGGAAUUCCAAGAGCAAAAUCCAGAUGUCAAGUCAAUGCGUGAGAUUGGCAAGGCUUGUGGAGAGAAGUGGAAGACCAUGACUUAUGAGGAGAAGGUGCAGUACUAUGACGUUGCGACAGAACAACAAGCAAAGUUUGAGAAAGCUUUGGCAGACUAUGCUAAGAGAAAGGAAAAUGGGGAACAUGACGAGUUUGAUGAGGAUUCAGACUCAGAUUAUGAUCGAUGAAUGAAUAUGUUGCUUUUGAACUCAUAGAGAUUCUAUUUAGCUGUCACAAGUAUCUUGUACAGUGAGAUAUUCAAACGUG
Long non-coding RNA from Helianthus annuus (common sunflower), 1414 nucleotides. RefSeq lists it as uncharacterized. Lineage: Eukaryota; Viridiplantae; Streptophyta; Magnoliopsida; Asterales; Asteraceae. The transcript has 5 exons. The record is from RefSeq and is a predicted model, not a curated record.